Molecule: transfer RNA, 66 nt
Filed under: Clymenella torquata (bamboo worm)
Lineage: Eukaryota; Metazoa; Annelida; Polychaeta; Maldanidae
Description: tRNA-Asp
Source: RNAcentral
AAAAAUCUAGUUAAUAAAUAUAACAUAGGACUGUCAGCCCUAAAUUGCUUAAUAAAGCGAUUUUUA